GACGAACCGUCCUAACGUUGUUCGGAAUCACUGGGCUUAAAGGGCGCGUAGGCGGGUUCCCAAGUCGGUGGUGAAAUCUUUCGGCCCAACCGGAAACCAGCCGCCGAUACUGGGAGUCUUGAGGGAGGUAGGGGUCGAUGGAACUUCCGGUGGAGCGGUGAAAUGCGUAGAUAUCGGAAGGAACGCCGGUGGCGAAAGCGAUCGACUGGACCUGUUCUGACGCUGAGGCGCGAAAGCCAGGGGAGCAAACGGG
RNAcentral lists this ribosomal RNA (253 nucleotides) under uncultured bacterium. RNAcentral's name for it is "partial 16S ribosomal RNA". It matches the Rfam family "Bacterial small subunit ribosomal RNA", at positions 524 to 776 of the family's 1533-position model. The record is from RNAcentral.